UGCCAGCCGCCGCGGUAAGACGAACCGUACGAACGUUAUUCGGAAUUACUGGGCUUAAAGGGUGCGUAGGCUGCACGGAAAGUUGGGUGUGAAAGCCCUCAGCUCAACUGAGGAAUUGCAUCCAAAACUGCUAAGCUAGAGUGCGAGAGAGGAGAGUAGAAUUUCUGGUGUAGCGGUGAAAUGCGUAGAUAUCAGAAGGAAUACCAAUGGCGAAGGCAGCUCUCUGGCUCGUCACUGACGCUGAGGUGCGAAAGCGUGGGUAGCAAACAGGAUUAGAUA
This 279-nucleotide ribosomal RNA is filed under the name uncultured bacterium. RNAcentral's name for it is "partial 16S ribosomal RNA". It matches the Rfam family "Bacterial small subunit ribosomal RNA", at positions 506 to 784 of the family's 1533-position model. The record is from RNAcentral.